GACGAACGCUGGCGGCGUGCUUAACACAUGCAAGUCGAACGGAAAGGCCCUGCGUUUGCGGGGUGCUCGAGUGGCGAACGGGUGAGUAACACGCGAGUAACCUGCCCUUGACUUUGGGAUAACUUCAGGAAACUGGGGCUAAUACCGGGUAGGAGCUCCUGCUGCAUGGUGGGGGAUGGAAAGUUUCGGCGGUUGGGGAUGGUCUCGCGGCUUAUCAGCUUGUUGGUGGGGUAGUGGCUUACGAAGGGUAUGACGGGUAGCCGGCCUGGGAGGGUGACCGGGCACAUUGGGCCUAAGGUACGGCGCAGACUCCUACGGGCGGCAGUGGGGGGGAAUAUUGCGCAAUGGGGGGAAGCCUGAUGCAGCAGCGCCGCGUGCGGGAUGACGGCCUUCGGGUUGUAAACCGCUUUCGCCGGUGACGAAGCGUGAGUGACGGUAAUGGGUAAAGAAGCACCGGCUAACUACGUG
This 468-nucleotide ribosomal RNA is filed under the name uncultured bacterium. Its description in RNAcentral is "partial 16S ribosomal RNA". It matches the Rfam family "Bacterial small subunit ribosomal RNA", at positions 28 to 507 of the family's 1533-position model. The record is from RNAcentral.